UGCAAGUCGAACGCGCAGCGAAAGGUGCUUGCACCUUUCAAGCGAGUGGCGAACGGGUGAGUAACACGUGGAUAACCUGCCUCAAGGCUGGGGAUAACAUUUGGAAACAGAUGCUAAUACCGAAUAAAACUUAGUAUCGCAUGAUACAAAGUUGAAAGGCGCUACGGCGUCACCUAGAGAUGGGUCCGCGGUGCAUUAGUUAGUUGGUGGGGUAAAGGCCUACCAAGACAAUGAUGCAUAGCCGAGUUGAGAGACUGAUCGGCCACAUUGGGACUGAGACACGGCCCAAACUCCUACGGGAGGCUGCAGUAGGGAAUCUUCCACAAUGGGCGCAAGCCUGAUGGAGCAACGCCGCGUGUGUGAUGAAGGCUUUCGGGUCGUAAAGCACUGUUAUAAGAGAAGAACGUCAGUGAGAGUAACUGCUCAUUGAGUGACGGUAUCUUAUCAGAAAGGGACGGCUAAAUAC
This 466-nucleotide ribosomal RNA is filed under the name uncultured bacterium. RNAcentral's name for it is "bacterial SSU rRNA". It matches the Rfam family "Bacterial small subunit ribosomal RNA", at positions 56 to 504 of the family's 1533-position model. The record is from RNAcentral.